Molecule: long non-coding RNA, 725 nt
Organism: Oncorhynchus kisutch (coho salmon)
Lineage: Eukaryota; Metazoa; Chordata; Actinopteri; Salmoniformes; Salmonidae
Exons: 3
Source: RefSeq, a predicted model, not a curated record
AGAGUUGUUUUCUUUUUCUGAGGACGGGAAAGUCACAGCCAGGGCUUCCUGUUUGCGACUGUGUUCAUGUUGGUGAUUUGUAUUAGAUUGACAGCAUAUAGUAUGGGCAGGUUUUCUGUUGGUGAAAUUCCUGAUGAUUUGAGGCGUUCCAAGCGUGCGCUGGGUGCUGAUGUGCCCGACGGAACAUUGGAGUGCAGGCUGGCAACUGCAGAGGAUUCUGGGCCAGGAUAAUGGAUCGGUGUGGAUGGAGGUCAGGAGGGGAAGUUUUCCCUGUUUUCUCUUCUCCUCCUCUAUAACUGGACCUACAGUUAGUCUGUCUGGACGUUCAUCUCUGGAAGCUUCCCUUUUCCCCUAACGUAAACAACAUGGGGCACCAGAAGUCUUUCAAUGGAUAAGGUGGUCACAGUCUGGAGUUCAAUCGAAUCCACCAAUGCUACGUUUACGCAGUAAUGUACUACUGCCUGCACACACGCUUCUAUUCGAUUGACUAUGUAUUCCUUUGCGUCACUUUACUAUAUAUUUGUAAAUACAGUGUAAUAAAGUCCAUUAUAAAGUCCAUUAUAACUACAUACUACCUCUCUUAUUACUUCUAGCACUUGUUAAUUUUGACUACACUCAUUUUAUUGUUUUUAUUGUUAUUGACUAAUGUAUUGCACUUCUUGCACCUGCAGUAAACUGUGUAUGUGACAAAUAAAAUUGGAUUUGAUUUCUUGUUCCGAAGAAAG